Toxorhynchites rutilus septentrionalis is the source of this 727-nucleotide long non-coding RNA. RefSeq lists it as uncharacterized. The transcript is spliced from 3 exons. NCBI's taxonomy places the organism in Eukaryota, Metazoa, Arthropoda, Insecta, Diptera, Culicidae. The record is from RefSeq and is a predicted model, not a curated record.
UGUGUAAAGUGUCGGUUUUGGUUCGAUGAUACAAUUUUGUUGUAUUACUUUCUUCUUGUAUGGUUGCAUAUGUUACGCCUUUCUUUGAUUGUAUCUCGCAAUCCGUGUUUAGUUUCACUAAAGCCGCGUAAUAACUGGGAGUUAUCGUUUUGUCACAGUGUAUUCUUAUACUGUUUGGAUUGUGUGUGUAGUAGAUAAAUUGAUUAACUUUCGCCAGAGUUGGCCUCAAAAUUAUAUGCAGUACAAUCAUUCAUCAUAAACAAAUCGGAGAUAAGUAUUCGUUUUUUUACAUCAUUACACCAGUCACCUCGGUCGGGAAACUGUUUUAUUCCCGCCAAGGAUAAACAUCAGUUAUAUUCUAUACAUUACAACACUAUUGACCUUUUUCCUUGUCUUUACAGCUGGCAUGAUCCCAGACUCGUAAUACUUGUUUACCAAAAACCAUCCAAGCUAUGGGACUGAAGGUAACGGCGAGUUGGAAUCUUUCUUCAACACAUCAUCGACCGUAAAAAAAUUAAGGGACACGAGAGAACAAGAUACGGAUGAAACGUGUUAAUUCUACCGCCAAUCUGCUAAUCAGCUGCUAAUCAGCUAAUGCAAAUCAGAGCGAUGCAGCAGGAAGAGGAACGGGAACUUGCUCGGGAACUUGCAUGGAAAUGCUCAUGAAACUGAGGUGGUUGAGGCUGCGAUUAAAAUUUGCCUCUUGUACGCAGUUUAUAGAAUGAUU